UACGUAGGGGGCAAGCGUUAUCCGGAUUUACUGGGUGUAAAGGGAGCGUAGACGGCAGAGCAAGUCAGAUGUGAAAUCCGGGGGCUCAACCCCCGAACUGCAUUUGAAAUUGUUGGUCUUGAGUAUCGGAGAGGCAGGCGGAAUUCCUAGUGUAGCGGUGAAAUGCGUAGAUAUUAGGAGGAACACCAGUGGCGAAGGCGGCCUGCUGGACGACAACUGACGGUGAGGCGCGAAAGCGUGGGGAGCAAACAGG
This 253-nucleotide ribosomal RNA is filed under the name uncultured bacterium. RNAcentral's name for it is "partial 16S ribosomal RNA". It matches the Rfam family "Bacterial small subunit ribosomal RNA", at positions 524 to 776 of the family's 1533-position model. The record is from RNAcentral.